RNAcentral lists this ribosomal RNA (218 nucleotides) under uncultured bacterium. Its description in RNAcentral is "partial 16S ribosomal RNA". It matches the Rfam family "Bacterial small subunit ribosomal RNA", at positions 794 to 1012 of the family's 1533-position model. The record is from RNAcentral.
UCCACGCCCUAAACGAUGCACACUAGUUGUUGCUAUGCUAGACAUAGCAGUAAUGCAGUUAACACAUUAAGUGUGCCGCCUGGGGAGUACGGUCGCAAGAUUAAAACUCAAAGGAAUAGACGGGGACCCGCACAAGCGGUGGAGCAUGUGGUUUAAUUCGACAUACGCGAAGAACCUUACCUGGCCUUGACAUAGAUAGAAUAUAGCAGAGAUGUAAA